This 785-nucleotide ribosomal RNA is filed under the name Microbacterium paraoxydans. RNAcentral describes it as "bacterial SSU rRNA". It matches the Rfam family "Bacterial small subunit ribosomal RNA", at positions 69 to 864 of the family's 1533-position model. The record is from RNAcentral. Lineage: Bacteria; Bacillati; Actinomycetota; Actinomycetes; Micrococcales; Microbacteriaceae.
GAACACGGAGCUUGCUCUGUGGGAUCAGUGGCGAACGGGUGAGUAACACGUGAGCAACCUGCCCCUGACUCUGGGAUAAGCGCUGGAAACGGCGUCUAAUACUGGAUAUGUGACGUGACCGCAUGGUCUGCGUUUGGAAAGAUUUUUCGGUUGGGGAUGGGCUCGCGGCCUAUCAGCUUGUUGGUGAGGUAAUGGCUCACCAAGGCGUCGACGGGUAGCCGGCCUGAGAGGGUGACCGGCCACACUGGGACUGAGACACGGCCCAGACUCCUACGGGAGGCAGCAGUGGGGAAUAUUGCACAAUGGGCGGAAGCCUGAUGCAGCAACGCCGCGUGAGGGAUGACGGCCUUCGGGUUGUAAACCUCUUUUAGCAGGGAAGAAGCGAAAGUGACGGUACCUGCAGAAAAAGCGCCGGCUAACUACGUGCCAGCAGCCGCGGUAAUACGUAGGGCGCAAGCGUUAUCCGGAAUUAUUGGGCGUAAAGAGCUCGUAGGCGGUUUGUCGCGUCUGCUGUGAAAUCCCGAGGCUCAACCUCGGGCCUGCAGUGGGUACGGGCAGACUAGAGUGCGGUAGGGGAGAUUGGAAUUCCUGGUGUAGCGGUGGAAUGCGCAGAUAUCAGGAGGAACACCGAUGGCGAAGGCAGAUCUCUGGGCCGUAACUGACGCUGAGGAGCGAAAGGGUGGGGAGCAAACAGGCUUAGAUACCCUGGUAGUCCACCCCGUAAACGUUGGGAACUAGUUGUGGGGUCCAUUCCACGGAUUCCGUGACGCAGCUAACGCAUUAAG